UCCAGGGAACAACUGUAAUAACAUCACUGACAUCAGUGCUGCAUGACAGUAAGGAAUUCCCCAACCCAGAGGUGUUUGANCCUGGCCACUUUCUAGAUGGGAAUGGAAACUUUAAGAAAAGUGACCACUUCAUGCCUUUCUCAGCAGGGAAACGGAUAUGUGCCGGAGAAGGCCUGGCACGCAUGGAGUUGUUCCUGUUCCUAACCAGCAUUUUACAGAACUUCAACCUGAAACCUCUGGUCCACCCAAAGGACAUAGAUAUAACCCCAGUGCUCGUUGGAUUGGCCUCAGUGCCUCCUGCUUUCCAGCUCUGCUUCAUUCCUUCCUGAAUAUCAAAUGUCUGGCUUCAGCUGGGACAUCUUCUGUGACCACACUGAGGCUUUAAUUCACUGCUUUCCACACUGGACACACUGCCUUUUAUCCAUUUCUUUUGCCUCCUCAUCAUUUCAUAAGUCUCUGUGAACAUACAUUUACCAAUUGGCAGAUCCUGUACAAAUAUUUCUGACAGUUCCUAAUUUCUAAAACACUGUUGCCAUAUGUUGUGAAGAUAUGUACCUGAUCCCAAGUUAAAUAUACUCUCAUUAUAAAAUUGAAAUUACUAUUGUAGGGUAAUUCACAGUCACUUCUCUUCUGCAUUUUCUUAAUAAUAAAUUCUUUUGAUAUA
Mus pahari (shrew mouse) is the source of this 664-nucleotide long non-coding RNA. RefSeq lists it as uncharacterized. The transcript has 2 exons. Lineage: Eukaryota; Metazoa; Chordata; Mammalia; Rodentia; Muridae. The record is from RefSeq and is a predicted model, not a curated record.